GAUCUCCAGACAGCUACAAAGAGAAUAUCAGUGGAUCAUUGGAAUUUCACCUAGAUUUUUCUCAUCAAACUGCCCACACAUUUUAUUCCUGUUGGAUGGAGAGGAGGUCGUGAGUGGGUAUCUGGAAGGACGUAGCAAACAUGGCUGUGCAGUGGGCCUUGAAGGAUGGAAACCACUUCCUGAGGAUGGUGAACUGGCAAGACAGGAACCUUGGUUACUGAGAUGAAGAUGCUGUAUCAACCCUGGAUGGCCUCCUUCCUCUGAACUUAUUCCAGGUGAGGGAAAAAUAUAUUUGUUUGGUUAAAUGAUGAUUAUUUUAAAUGUUCUCUUAUAUGCAGACACACUUAACUCCAAUCAUUACAGCUACUUAGGCUGAUUCUAAAUUUUUGCUUAUGUAAGUUAUGCUGCACCUAGCACACUGGUCUAAACAUCUCUUCAUAUUAGUCUGAGAAAUAUUAGAACAUCUUAGAAGUUAAAUUACCAAUUAAGAGAUUCAUGAACAGCAUUUUAUUAUUUUGUGAAAUAUCUUGCCUAACUUGGGAAGGUAUUCUUUUUGAGGAUCCUCCUGGGUAGUGAACAAAUGGGGUGGGAAUACCCAUCCUGCACGUGUGGGACACUGGCUGGAGAUCCAGUGCUGGGAAAUGGUUGACAUAACAUGAGAAAUGUGGAUGGAAGGCAGAUGUUCCAUGUCAAGCUGAAACUCUAUCGUUUCCUUUACUAGAAUGUCUAGUGAGUCAAGGUCAAUAUUAUAAAAGAUAACCUAGUAUAAUAGUUGUGUGUCAUGCCUGUCAGGUAGUUAUUCUUAAGACUUUCAUUUUAAUUAAACUGUAAAGCAGUAGACCCUCCCCACCCCCCAACAAAAACGGGAGCUACUAUGCUAAGUCCAUUUCCUUCUGUGAUUUUAGUUCACUCUGGAUUAUUAGGGGAUUGAUUUUAGUGGAUUAUGUAAAUCAGUAGUUUUCAAAAACAGCAAAAAAGCCUAUCAGUAAACUAGAUUUUUUAAUUUCUCCACAUAUUCUGAUUCAGUUGG
This 1030-nucleotide long non-coding RNA is filed under the name Canis lupus familiaris (dog). RNAcentral describes it as "lncRNA (ENSCAFG00000051646.1, ENSCAFG00805000032.1, ENSCAFG00845002795.1)". Lineage: Eukaryota; Metazoa; Chordata; Mammalia; Carnivora; Canidae. The record is from RNAcentral.